AUUGAACGCUGGCGGCAUGCCUAACACAUGCAAGUCGAACGGCAGCACGGGUCAGUUUACUGACUGGGUGGCGAGUGGCGAACGGGUGAGUAACGUGUGGGAAUAUACCUGAAAGAACGGGACAACUUGGGGAAAGUCAAGUAAAUACCGUAUGAGCGCGGAGGAGGAAAGCUGGGGCCCGAAAGGCCUGGCGCUUUAGGAUGAGCCUGCGUCCGAUUAGCUAGUUGGUAGGGUAAAGGCCUACCAAGGCGACGAUCGGUAGCUGGUCUGAGAGGAUGGACAGCCACACUGGGACUGAGACACGGCCCAGACUCCUACGGGAGGCAGCAGUGGGGAAUAUUGGACAAUGGGGGGAACCCUGAUCCAGCAAUGCCGCGUGUGUGAAGAAGGCCUGAGGGUUGUAAAGAACUUUCAGUGGGGAGGAGGGGUGAUUGGUUAAGAACUGAUUAAAUGGACGUUACCCACAGAAGAAGCACCGGCUAACUCCGUGCCAGCCGCCGCGGUAA
RNAcentral lists this ribosomal RNA (506 nucleotides) under uncultured bacterium. RNAcentral's name for it is "partial 16S ribosomal RNA". It matches the Rfam family "Bacterial small subunit ribosomal RNA", at positions 29 to 523 of the family's 1533-position model. The record is from RNAcentral.